CCAACAAGCCCACCCCCAGCUGAGAGCGCACAGAAGAAAGCCAGCCUCCAACUGUAAAAAAAACAACAACACAUCAAGGGGCAAUCUUCCUUUUUUCAAAAAACCAAACCACCACCAACAAAAACUGGGGCUACCAUCCUACACCCACUUGCAUUGGAGUAAGCCCUGCUGAACUCAACAGGGGAGACCCAAGAAGAGCCCAGUUGCUGGAUCCGGCCAACUGGAUCAGCAUCCUGUUCUCACAGCUGCCAACCGGAUGCCCCUAUGGGACGCCCGCAAGGAGGGCUUGGGGCUUAUAAUAGUGUGGGCUGCGUUUGGGUUACAGAGUUAAAUCUCUUGAAAGAGGGGCGAAAGGAAGCAACAAAUGGGAAGGAAACUGGCCAGCUUGUGAAAUCCAAAACCGGAUUGGCACAAUACUCUCCUGGGGGCCUUCCUUCAGGAUAUGAGCAAACACACCCAUAGAAGCAAGGAGGGAAGGACUUCAUGCAUCCUGCCUCUUCUUCCAAAGCACAGCCUCCAACAGCGGAGAGGACAGCAAUCCCUUUGCCAAAAUGUAGCAUUAAAAACUAGGCAUAUGUGUGAAUGGGGGGGGGGGAGGUUUCCAAUUAAAGGAAAGUAAUAUUGUGAUCAACUAUAAAAUCACAGCUCACAUAUUUCAAAGACCGUAAGUGAAUUGCGAGGCUCCGAAGUCAGGCAUUUUAAAACAGAUUGUGCUUUUUCUUUUUCCUCCCCCAGAAGGACACAUGUCCCUUUUAAGUAAGCUAAGGUCUGUUAUUGACAUGAAUAAACCAUGCAUUUCCUAUUCAGAAUACGGUCCCAUCUUGGCUAUGCUACUUUCUAAAGGCACACAUUUCCCUUCCCUGUUUGGCAACAUUUCAACUGCUUGUCAUAAGGUGAGCAAGGCCCUCAUUUCAGAUUCAAAUGUGAAUCGCUGCCAAAUUGACCUGCUGUUCUCUCCCUUUCAGCUACUGUAACCAACACCACACAAACAAUGAAUUAUGAGAUUAGAGUUACAGAAAAAUGGACUCAUUCUGCAGAUGUUGUGUCUGGAACAAGCUGCUUUGUCUCAUGUUUGUUGUGCCAUGUU
Molecule: long non-coding RNA, 1087 nt
Organism: Podarcis muralis (Common wall lizard)
Lineage: Eukaryota; Metazoa; Chordata; Lepidosauria; Squamata; Lacertidae
Source: RefSeq, a predicted model, not a curated record